RNAcentral lists this ribosomal RNA (690 nucleotides) under uncultured bacterium. RNAcentral's name for it is "bacterial SSU rRNA". The stretch from base 1 to 434 matches the Rfam family "Bacterial small subunit ribosomal RNA", at positions 338 to 873 of the family's 1533-position model. The record is from RNAcentral.
CCGUACGGGAGGCAGCAGGUGGGGAAUUUUGGACAAUGGGCGAAAGCCUGAUCCAGCAAUGCCGCGUGAGUGAAGAAGGCCUUCGGGUUGUAAAGCUCUUUUGUCAGGGAAGAAACGGUGAAAGCUAAUAUCUUUUGCUAAUGACGGUACCUGAAGAAUAAGCACCGGCUAACUACGUGCCAGCAGCCGCGGUAAUACGUAGGGUGCAAGCGUUAAUCGGAAUUACUGGGCGUAAAGCGUGCGCAGGCGGUUUUGUAAGUCUGAUGUGAAAUCCCCGGGCUCAACCUGGGAAUUGCAUUGGAGACUGCAAGGCUAGAAUCUGGCAGAGGGGGGUAGAAUUCCACGUGUAGCAGUGAAAUGCGUAGAUAUGUGGAGGAACACCGAUGGCGAAGGCAGCCCCCUGGGUCAAGAUUGACGCUCAUGCACGAAACGACGGUAGGGGAGGACGAAACGAAGGAAGUUAAGUAAUACCCUACGGUAGGUACCGUACCGACCCGUAAACCGAACUAGUCUACUAGUUGGUUCGGGUUCGUUAAUUAGUACGUUAGGUUAACGGUACGAGACGUAACGACGUGAAGUAAGACCGCCGUCGGGGUAAGGUACGGGUCGGUUCGAAGUAAGUUAAAACGUUAACGAAAGGAAGUUAGACGGCGNGAGACGNGCCGACGGACGACGACGAGGGAGGAGGAG